RNAcentral lists this ribosomal RNA (472 nucleotides) under uncultured bacterium. RNAcentral describes it as "SSU rRNA". It matches the Rfam family "Bacterial small subunit ribosomal RNA", at positions 26 to 516 of the family's 1533-position model. The record is from RNAcentral.
AGGACGAACGCUGGCGGCGUGCUUAACACAUGCAAGUCGAGCGGAAAGGCCUUUCGGGGUACUCGAGCGGCGAACGGGUGAGUAACACGUGAGUAACCUGCCCUUCACUUUGGGAUAACCCUCGGAAACGGGGGCUAAUACCGGAUAUGACCUGGCCCGGCAUCGGGUUGGGUGGAAAGUUUUUCGGUGGGGGAUGGGCUCGCGGCCUAUCAGCUUGUUGGUGGGGUAAUGGCCUACCAAGGCGACGACGGGUAGCCGGCCUGAGAGGGCGACCGGCCACACUGGGACUGAGACACGGCCCAGACUCCUACGGGAGGCAGCAGUGGGGAAUAUUGCACAAUGGGCGGAAGCCUGAUGCAGCGACGCCGCGUGAGGGAUGACGGCCUUCGGGUUGUAAACCCCUUUCAGCAGGGACGAAGCGAAAGUGACGGUACCUGCAGAAGAAGCGCCGGCUAACUACGUGCCAGCAGCC